AACGAACGCUGGCGGCAUGCCUAACACAUGCAAGUCGAACGAGACCUUCGGGUCUAGUGGCGCACGGGUGCGUAACGCGUGGGAACCUGCCCUUAGGUUCGGAAUAACUCCCCGAAAGGGGUGCUAAUACCGGAUAAUGUCUUCGGACCAAAGAUUUAUCGUCUUUGGAUGGGCCCGCGUUGGAUUAGCUAGUUGGUAGGGUAAAAGCCUACCAAGGCGACGAUCCAUAGCUGGUCUGAGAGGAUGAUCAGCCACACUGGGACUGAGACACGGCCCAGACUCCUACGGGAAGCAGCAGUGGGGAAUAUUGGACAAUGGGCGAAAGCCUGAUCCAGCACUGCCGCGUGAGUGAUGAAGGCCUUAGGGUUGUAAAGCUCUUUUACCCGGGAUGAUAAUGACAGUACCGGGAGAAUAAGCUCCGGCUAACUCCGUG
RNAcentral lists this ribosomal RNA (433 nucleotides) under uncultured bacterium. RNAcentral describes it as "partial 16S ribosomal RNA". It matches the Rfam family "Bacterial small subunit ribosomal RNA", at positions 29 to 507 of the family's 1533-position model. The record is from RNAcentral.